Scophthalmus maximus (turbot) is the source of this 2191-nucleotide long non-coding RNA. RefSeq lists it as uncharacterized. The transcript has 6 exons. The record is from RefSeq and is a predicted model, not a curated record. NCBI's taxonomy places the organism in Eukaryota, Metazoa, Chordata, Actinopteri, Pleuronectiformes, Scophthalmidae.
GAGCCGGUAACCGGCGUUACCUCUAGUUCCCGGAAGACAACGAGCAGACUGUCUCUGGCGACGAGUAGUCCGGGCCGUGACCGGUGGAGGGAGAUGUGCUUCAGAUGACUCCGGAAUUUUGAGCGGCGGUGAUUCCAAGAACUCCACAAGGCCGAUACACUCUUCCUAUCAAGCUGCUCAUGAGCUGUCAUAGCCCUGAGGAGCACUGAUAUGUUCCGACCUGGGUGAGAACCCUUGGAGACUUCGGCUGCAAUCAACAAACCCGGACUGCAGGAAAGCCACGGACCACAGACGGAGAUGUUGGAGACGGAGCAGGACAGAUGUCUGACAGACUGCACCUCCCGCUCCCUCCGGUCCGCCCGACGUGAUGAUGAGCGGCACACGGCAGAAAGCUCCCGAGCUGGGAUUUUGUCACGUGAGGGCAAAAAACACAUUUUCCCUCUUGUUCGAAUGGCUCCAAGAGCCUCACUUACCCGGCACUCUGCCCAGAACGAGCGACUUGAUGCUGCUGAACUCCACAUCAGACGACAAGUUGAAGUCCUCUCUGGCAUUCUGGUCAAUCUGAAAGAUAAUUCAAGGGGCAAACACCUGGAUUCAUAGCGGACACCUAAAUGCCUGGAAUCUUGUUCCUGUUGAUCGGCUCAGAGCGUCACUCGAACGUCGAUUAUCGCGUACCAUAUUAAGACACGGCGUCCGCCCGUCUCCCGAUGGUCACCGUGUGCAGACGUCCAUCAGCCAGGCUGGUAACUCCGCUGGCCAGCACCUCCACGUCCCUGCUGCUGUGCAGCUUGUACCUCAGCUCCAACCCGUCUUUGAAGGAACAAAACAACAAUGAGUCAAGACUUCAUUCGUUCAAAAAUGUCCAGUCGCGUCACAAGUUGAAAAACCUGAAGCUAAUAGCCGUGCAUCUGGGAGUCGGCGUAGAGCAGCAGAGCCGGACUCUGGAGGGUCCUGAAGCUCAGCGAGACGUUCUCCCCCCUCGGCGACGUGUCGGAGUGGACGGACGGAGGCGGGACGCUGCCGUUGCUGCUCAGCUCGUGCGGCGGACGGAGGAUGUAGGCGACGGACAUUGUCGACUUGAAGCUGGCGGCCACCUCUGAGAGUUGAACAAGUUCGAGGGAGGCGUCAGCCGUGGAGCCCAUUGGUCAACCACGUCCCAAUGCUGCUAGUACUUUGCCAAUUGUGUUGUGAGGGGAGAGUGUAAUCACUGCAUGGAUUUUGUUAACUGGUCAUUUCCUUUCUAGAGAAGAUGGUGGACUUUUUCUUUUUUGUUUACAAUAUGUCCUUUGGAGGUGUUGGUGUACAAAAUGCAGCACUGAAAUGGCAGUUGUUCACAUCUGUGUGGUUACAUUUAGGCAACAAAAGAGUUUCUGAUACAGUCUAUUUAGGGAAAUAUGGAUACAGACCUAAAAGCAUAGCCAUAAUAAAGUAUUGGAUGCUAUUAGAUAUGAUGGCAGAACAACUGAAAACAUUGUCACUGUUCCUUCUCCAAAAACAUUAAGUGUAAACAUUUUGUGACUUGGCAGUUGUUGAUGACUUGUGGAUGGAAAAUUGGGGGAGAUCGCAUUUCUCUGAUUUACAAUUUGUAGGAAGAUUGAGCACGCAUCAUUUUCAGGAGGCAGAGUGAACCUGCCUUUAUUUUUGGUAUUUAACUCGGGCUUUUGUCUGCCGCUCCUUUCUGUUGACUGUAAUAUCUACGGCAAUAUCCUCUGAAACUGCCUGUCACUUGUCCAGAUGAGGAAGAUAAGAAAUGGGAUUAGCUUAAUCUGGCCGGUCUACAUCAAAUGAAUUCCCUCGUCUCGUCAGUGUGUCGUACCGUAAAAGACUGGGCAAUUACACUUUCUCAGUUGUUAAUUCAUUGCAAUUAUCGUGUUAGCCAUGUCAUGUUCUAUCAUGAUACGGGCCAGGGGCUUCAGUUGAUGUUCACAUGGCUGAUUGUUGGUGUCAGACAGGCUGGUUGGAGUGUUUCUGACACAGAUCCCCCGAGUACAUUUACAGUCUGGGCAGCUUUCUCCAAAUGGUGCAAAAAAAGAAACCCCAACAAACGAUCAGUUCUACGGAUGGAAACGCCUUGUAAAACUUCAAUGCAUGCCUCCUCGGAUUGGUGCAUCUUCUGGACCAACGUUCUGUACAGCACGGUGUACAGAACUCGAGCAGGGGGAGGUUGUACUGAGCUUUGGGCUCGUCGUCG